AUGACGUCCGGGUCCUGGUGCGCGCCGUGGGGCCGGGGCGGCGGGGUCCAGUCUCGCGGCGAAAGCGGCGGCGGCCGGUUCAGCGUCUUCACGGCGAUCCUCCCGUCGCUGGGCGCGCAGCACAGCCACAGCUUCAGACGGACCAGUGUCCGGCGCUGGGUCGUGUCCCCCUACGACCCUCGCUACCGGCUGUGGGACAGCUACCUCGUCUGCCUCGUGCUCUACUCCGCGUGGGUGUCCCCUUUCGAGUUCGGCUUCCUCCAGAACCCCCACGGCGCGCUGGCCAUCGCCGACAACACCGUCAACGUCUUCUUCGCCAUGGACAUCGUCCUCACCUUCUUCGUCGCCUACACCGACAAGAGGACCUACCUGCUCGUUGACGAGCCCGCCAAGAUCGCCUGGCGCUACGCCAGCACCUGGCUCGUCCUGGACGUCGCCUCCACCGUGCCCACCGAGCUCUCCCGCCGGAUCCUCCCUCCCGACCUCCGAACCUACGGCGUCUUCGGCAUGCUCCGCCUCUGGCGACUCCGGCGCGUCGGUGCCCUCCUGUCCCGCAUGGAGAAGGACCGCAAGUUCAGCUACUUCUGGGUCCGGUGCUCCAAGCUCGUGGCCGUAACGCUCUUCGCCGUGCAUUGCUCUGGGUGCUUCUACUAUCUCCUCGCCGACCGGUACCCGAACCCGGCCGAGACCUGGAUCAGCAUCUCCAUGCCGCACUUCCACACCGAGAGCCUUUGGAACCGCUACGUGGCGUCCAUGUACUGGUCCAUCACCACCCUCACAACUGUGGGCUACGGCGACAUGCACGCCGUCAACUCGAGGGAGAUGCUCUUCACCACCUUCUACAUGCUCUUCAAUCUCGGCCUCACCGCCUACCUCAUCGGCAACAUGACCAACCUCGUCGUCCACGGCACCAGCCGCACCAGGAAAUACAGGGACAAGAUCCAGGCGGCAACGAGCUUCGCGCAGCGGCACGAGCUGCCGAAGCGGCUGCAGGAUCAGAUGAUCUCUCACCUCAGCCUGAAAUUCAGGACGCACUCAGAGGGGCUCCAGCAGCAGGAGACGCUGGACGCGCUGCCCAAAGCAUUAAGGUCCAGCAUCUCGCACCACCUCUUCUUCGGGCUGGUCCAGAACGUCUACCUCUUCCAGGGGGUCUCCAAUGACCUCAUCUUCCAGCUGGUGUCUGAGAUGAGCGCCGGGUACUUUGCGCCGCGGGAAGACGUGAUACUGCAGAACGAAGCGCCCUCGGAUUUCUACAUCAUUGUCACUGGUAGUGUGGUAAAAAUGAUCACACUCUCUUCAUGA
This 1302-nucleotide ribosomal RNA is filed under the name Triticum aestivum (bread wheat). Its description in RNAcentral is "partial small subunit ribosomal RNA". Lineage: Eukaryota; Viridiplantae; Streptophyta; Magnoliopsida; Poales; Poaceae. The record is from RNAcentral.